UUGGAGGGCAAGUCUGGUGCCAGCAGCCGCGGUAAUUCCAGCUCCAAUAGCGUAUAUUAAAGUUGUUGCAGUUAAAAAGCUCGUAGUUGAAUUUCGGGGUUAGCAGGUCGGUCGUGCCAUCGGUAUGAACUGGUCUCGCUGAUCCCUCCCUCUUGAAGAACUGUGAUGCCAUUAAUUUGGUGUCGCAGGGAAUCAGGACUGUUACUUUGAAAAAAUUAGAGUGUUUAAAGCAGGCUCACGCUUGAAUACAUUAGCAUGGAAUAAUGAAAUAGGACGUUUGAUCCUAUUUUGUUGGUUUCUAGGAUUGACGUAAUGAUUAAUAGGGAUAGUUGGGGGCAUUAGUAUUCAAUUGUCAGAGGUGAAAUUCUUGGAUUUAUUGAAGACUAACUACUGCGAAAGCAUUUGCCAAGGAUGUUUUCAUUAAUCAAGAACGAAAGUUAGGGGAUCGGAGACGAUCAGAUACCGUCGUAGUCUUAACCAUAAACUAUGCCGACUAGGGAUCGGAUGAUGUUAAUUUUUUAAUGACUCAUUCGGCGCCUUACGGGAAAC
RNAcentral lists this ribosomal RNA (549 nucleotides) under uncultured Glomus. RNAcentral describes it as "SSU rRNA". It matches the Rfam family "Eukaryotic small subunit ribosomal RNA", at positions 548 to 1098 of the family's 1831-position model. Lineage: Eukaryota; Fungi; Glomeromycota; Glomeromycetes; Glomerales; Glomeraceae. The record is from RNAcentral.